This 64-nucleotide transfer RNA is filed under the name Anterhynchium abdominale. Its description in RNAcentral is "tRNA-Arg". The record is from RNAcentral. Lineage: Eukaryota; Metazoa; Arthropoda; Insecta; Hymenoptera; Vespidae.
AAAUAUGAAGUAAAUUAUACAUUCUAAAUUCGAAAUAGACAAUUGGUUAAAUAACCCAUAUUUA